CUUAGUAUCAUAAGAUUAUUGCACGUGAUAUAAAUAAAAACAUUGAAACAUUUCAUGCUGUGUUUUUUUAUUGUUUUCUCUUGUUCGCAUUUACAAAGAAGGUGAAAACCAAUUUAGGUUUUAUGAAAGAUGCUACAAAUUUUCUACAAGUUCUAUACUGGUGUUCAUAGAAAACAGACUGUGAGUAGCGUAAAUCACAAAAACCCACUUACAAUUCAGAAAUAACUCCCAGUGAAAUAAAAUGUGGGAUACUUUGGAUACUUUGCUAUACAGAACCAUUUCAACAUGUUUCUGUGUGGUUCUUUUCCAUUGAUUACAUAUACAGUUGUUUGUCUGCAGUGUUAAAAAAUGUAAUCAAGUACAACAAAAAAACAACAAACAUUGUUCUUCAAAUGUAUUAACAAAUGUAACAUCAAGUACUGAAAUUAGUUUUUCUAUUGAAAAAAAUUGAAUGCCUAAAAUUGUGUAAUUAGAAAUAGUAAUUGUAUAAAGUGUAAUAAUUUGUUUUCAUGUUGCAGUCAUGGGCCAUAUUCAACAGAAAUUUGGAAGAAGGAGAAAAUAUUGCAGGGUAACUCAGGCUUCUAGUUUUAAGCACUGUUGAAGUACCUACACAUUUUGUAACAAAACUGCACAAUAAUGGGCCAUAAUGGAUUAAGAAGCAAAGUCAUGUUACAAUGGAUAAUUUUUUUUUAGCAUGGUGGAAAUAUUUUACAUGCUAGGCAAUUGUAUUCUAAAUUCCACAUCUGCUUUCAAUUAACAAUAAUCUUGUGUUUAGAAUGUUGAAUCUUUACUAACCUUUACUGUGAAAUAUAAGAUAUUUCUAAGCAGGCACAACAAGUGUCAUUUGCAAAGGUUUUCCAACCAACAUGAAUAAUGGCCCUGAUUUAUUAUUUUUGGAUAAGAUUUUUUAAUUUUUUAAUAUUUUUUAAUACAUUUUACAAUGAUUACAUAUUUUGAAAAAUAUUUUAUUUUUAUUUACUA
This is a non-coding RNA of Pelobates cultripes (western spadefoot toad), 981 nucleotides long. The record is from the annotation of a GenBank genome assembly. Lineage: Eukaryota; Metazoa; Chordata; Amphibia; Anura; Pelobatidae.